UACAAUCGUCACUUCACACAAUACAUAAAUAAAUCAUACAUCAAACAGAGAACACACAUAGACCGACUACGGUCAAAUCCAAAAGAAAAGAAGACAACCCAACUCCUAGAUCCCCGAUCGCCCCAACUGGGCACCACUGCUGAUCAACAAGAAAAGAAACAACACAACAAACAAGAUCUUCAUUGAGCUCCCACUUGAGCUCGAUUGCGUCACCUGCGCUGGUAUCAUCGGCACCUGCAACUGUUUUGGAAGUAUUUGUGAGUCACGAGGACUCAGAAAUCUCACACCCGCGAGAUCAAGACUAUUUAAGCUUAUAGGAAGGAAAGGGUAGUGAGGUGGAGCUGCAGCAAGCACUAAGCAUAUAUGGUGGCUAACAUACGCAAAUGAGAGCGAGAAGAGAAGCAACAGAACGGUCGUGAACUAGCAAUGAUUAAGAAGUGAUCCUGAACUCCUACUUACAUCAAACAUAACCCAGAAACCGUGUUCACUUACCGGACUCCGCCGAGAAGAGACAAUCACGGCUACACACGCGGUUGAUGUGUUUUAAUUAAGUCAAGUGUCAAGUUCUCUACAACCGGAUAUUAACAAAUUCCCAUCUGCCACAUAACCGCGGGCACGGCUCUCGAAAGUUUAUACCCUGCAGGGGUGUCCCAACUUAGCCCAUCAUAAGCUCUCACGGUCAACGAAGGAUAAACCUUCUCCCGGGAAGACCCGAUCAGUCUCGGAAUCCCGGUUACAAAACAUUUCGACAAUGGUAAAACAAAACCAGCAAAGCCGCCCGAUGUGUCGACAAUCCCGAUAGGAGUCUCACGUAUCUCGUUCUCAGGACACACCGGAUAAGCGAAGCGUACAGGUACCGACGUAACCCAAGUUGCCAAGGGAUGGUCCCGCACGGUGCUCUAGUUUGGACCAACACUUAGACAAGCACUGGCCCGGGGGUAAAAUAAAGAUGACCCUCGGGAUGCGCGACUCCCAAGGGAAAAAGGCUAGGUGAGGCAAAUGUAAAACCAAGGUUGGGCCUUGCUGGAAGAGUUUUAUUCAAAGCGAACUGUCAAGGGGGUCCCAUAAAUCACCCAACCGCGUUAGGAACGCAAAAUCAAGGAACAUAACACCGGUAUGACGGAAACUAGGGCGGCAAGAGUGGAACAAAACACCAGGCAUAAGGCCGAGCCUUCCACCCUUUACCAAGUAUAUAGAUGCAUUAAUUAAAUAAGAGAUAUUGUGAUAUCCCAACACAAACAUAAUCAGACAUGGAGCAAUCUUCAUCUUCACCUGCAGCUAGCAACGCUAUAAGAGGGGCUGAGCAAAGCGGUAACUUAGCCAAACAACGGUUUGCUAGGAAGGUUGACAAAGGUUAGAGGUUCAUGGCAAUAUGGGAGGCAUGAAAUAGCAAGUGGUAGGUAGCGCUGCAUAGCAAUAGAGCGAACAACUAGCAAGCAAAGAUAGAAGUGAUUUCGAGGGUAUGGUCAUCUUGCCUGAGAUCCCGCAAAGAAGAAGAACGAGUCAAUGAAGAAGACAAACGGAUGUAGUCGAACGAAUCCUCACAACUCCGGAACGAAACCUAAGCUAACGAGAGAAGCAACCCGGAAAGAAACAAACAACAUAGUAAACACACAAUCAUAAACAUGGCAUGAUGCACAAUCAAGUAUGAUGCAUGUCCGGUUUAAAGAGGCAUGGCAUGGCAAAGUGCACAAACAAAACUACAAGUUAAGUGGAGCUCAAUAUGCAACGAGUUGCCUAUUGACGAAACACCACAACAAUUGUUUAGUUCUCUCGGUUAUAUACCCAACAAUAUUAAAUGUUGAUUAACAUGGCAAGAGGUGAAGCAUAAGUAAACUAACUAUCUAGGCAAUUUAAAUGAGGCCGGAACAACAAACAAUAAUUCCGGAAAAUCCUCAUGUUAUUUAGCAAUUUUAAUGCAAACAUCAAUUGUAAACAUUUAAAUGUUGUUAUUAUGAUGCGAAUGACAUAUGCAAGUUUUUAAGCAAUUUUAUAAAACGUGGACAAGAGCAUGUUAUGAAGCAUUUGUUACCGUGGUGGAACGAGAAAGGGUGCCACGGCAACGAUAACGAAAAUGAUGCCACGCUAACAUAUCGGUUCCGAUAGCUCAUGGAGAUACCGGCGCAAAAGAGAAUUGUGCAGAUGUGUGGAACACGCAAUAGAUGGUGGGGUGCUCCCGGUAACCGGGUUCCCACGGUUCGACGGCAUGGCAAGAAAAUGAGUGGCAGCAUGCGACGAACAAGUCGGGCACGGUGCAAACGCAAGCAACUCAAACAACACAUGCUUUCGUUCCACGGACGUCGUCUCAGGUUAUACCUUCGAGGCGUGACUUUUCGGAACGGAUCAAGUUCGUAGAGGAAGUAGUUGUACACGGCGACAGUAUUAGAAGUAGUGGUUCACAUCUCACAAUCGUGCAAACUCCGUAGAUGUUCGGGGUCGUCGGUAGAGGUACUUGACGCAAUCCAUGCAAACGGUGCUUGUUCGGGCAUCGGUCUUGACGAAGGUGUACUUGGCCAACGUAGUGGUACUCGACGUCUUGUCGAAGCCAAGCGACGGUAGUCGUACACGACGCGUUGUGGAAGUAGUUGAACUCGCGGUCUUCGCGGCGACGGUAGUCGUACACGUAUUGACGAG
This 2634-nucleotide long non-coding RNA is filed under the name Triticum aestivum (bread wheat). RNAcentral's name for it is "long non-coding RNA (TAES_LNC000289)". The record is from RNAcentral. Lineage: Eukaryota; Viridiplantae; Streptophyta; Magnoliopsida; Poales; Poaceae.